This 429-nucleotide ribosomal RNA is filed under the name Bacteroidota bacterium. RNAcentral describes it as "Bacteroidetes bacterium partial 16S ribosomal RNA". It matches the Rfam family "Bacterial small subunit ribosomal RNA", at positions 355 to 776 of the family's 1533-position model. Lineage: Bacteria; Pseudomonadati; Bacteroidota. RNAcentral also lists the same sequence under 1 other name. The record is from RNAcentral.
UAGGGAAUCUUCGGCAAUGGGGGGAACCCUGACCGAGCAACGCCGCGUGAGUGAAGAAGGUUUUCGGAUCGUAAAGCUCUGUUGUUAAGGAAGAACGAGUGUGAGAAUGGAAAGUUCAUGCUGUGACGGUACUUAACCAGAAAGGGACGGCUAACUACGUGCCAGCAGCCGCGGUAAUACGUAGGUCCCGAGCGUUGUCCGGAUUUAUUGGGCGUAAAGCGAGCGCAGGCGGUUAGAAAAGUCUGAAGUGAAAGGCAGUGGCUCAACCAUAGUAGGCUUUGGAAACUGUUUAACUUGAGUGCAGAAGGGGAGAGUGGAAUUCCAUGUGUAGCGGUGAAAUGCGUAGAUAUAUGGAGGAACACCGGUGGCGAAAGCGGCUCUCUGGUCUGUAACUGACGCUGAGGCUCGAAAGCGUGGGGAGCGAACAGG